CGCGUAGGCGGCUUGGCAAGUGGAUGGUGAAAUCCCUCGGCUUAACCGAGGAACGGCCGUCCAAACUGCUUCGCUUGAGACCGGGAGAGGUGAGUGGAAUUCCCAGUGUAGCGGUGAAAUGCGUAGAUAUUGGGAGGAACACCAGUGGCGAAGGCGGCUCACUGGACCGGUACUGACGCUGAAGCGCGAAAGCGUGGGGAGCAAACG
RNAcentral lists this ribosomal RNA (207 nucleotides) under uncultured bacterium. RNAcentral's name for it is "partial 16S ribosomal RNA". It matches the Rfam family "Bacterial small subunit ribosomal RNA", at positions 568 to 774 of the family's 1533-position model. The record is from RNAcentral.